GAUAUGGUUAGUGUUAGGGUGUGGGGUUGGGGUUAGCGGAGUAGGCGUAGGCGGACUCCUAGCCAUCGUUAGUCGGAGGUAGGCGAAGUACGGUUCCGGCAAUAAUAGAUAGUAGCAGGGUACGUUUCCGUAAACUGGACCGAACCCAGG
Priapulus caudatus is the source of this 150-nucleotide long non-coding RNA. RefSeq lists it as uncharacterized. The record is from RefSeq and is a predicted model, not a curated record. Lineage: Eukaryota; Metazoa; Priapulida; Priapulimorpha; Priapulimorphida; Priapulidae. The transcript is spliced from 3 exons.